This 105-nucleotide small nuclear RNA is filed under the name Cavia aperea (Brazilian guinea pig). Lineage: Eukaryota; Metazoa; Chordata; Mammalia; Rodentia; Caviidae. The record is from RNAcentral.
GUACUCGCUUUUGCAGCACAUAUACUAAAUGGAAUGAUACAGAGAUGAUUAGCAUGGCUCCUGUGCAAGCAUGACAUGCACAUUCAUGAAGUGUUCCAUAUUUUU